GAUGAAGAACGUAGCGAAAUGCGAUAAGUAGUGUGAAUUGCAGAAUUCAGUGAAUCAUCGAAUCUUUGAACGCACAUUGCGCCCCUUGGUAUCCCGAGGGGCAUGCCUGUUCGAGCGUCAUUUCACCACUCAAGCCUGGCUUGGUGUUGGGCGACGUCCUCUUUGGGGACGCGCCUCGAAACGCUCGGCGGCGUGGCACCGGCUUUAAGCGUAGCAGAAUCUUUCGCUUUGGAAGUCGGGGCCCCGUCUGCCGGAAGACCUGCUCGCAAGGUUGACCUCGGAUCAGGCAGGGAUACCCGCUGAACUUAAGCAUGUCAAUAAGCGGAGGA
Molecule: unclassified non-coding RNA, 329 nt
Filed under: soil metagenome
Description: partial contains 5.8S ribosomal RNA, internal transcribed spacer 2, and large subunit ribosomal RNA
Rfam family: 5.8S ribosomal RNA (bases 1-120)
Source: RNAcentral